RNAcentral lists this ribosomal RNA (469 nucleotides) under uncultured soil bacterium. RNAcentral's name for it is "bacterial SSU rRNA". It matches the Rfam family "Bacterial small subunit ribosomal RNA", at positions 26 to 492 of the family's 1533-position model. The record is from RNAcentral.
AGGACGAACGCUGGCGGCGUGCUUAACACAUGCAAGUCGGACGAUGAACCGCUUUCGGGUGGGGAUUAGUGGCGAACGGGUGAGUAACACGUGAGUAACCUGCCCUUCACUCUGGGAUAACUCCGGGAAACCGGGGCUAAUACUGGAUAUGACUCGUACAGGCAUCUGUUGCGGGUGGAAAGAUUUAUUGGUGGAGGAUGGACUCGCGGCCUAUCAGCUUGUUGGUGAGGUAUGGCUUACCAAGGCGACGACGGGUAGCCGGCCUGAGAGGGCGAGUCGGCCACACUGGGACUGAGACACGGCCCAGACUCCUACGGGAGCAGCAGGUGGGAUAGUUGCACAAUGGCGAAAGCCUGAUGGCAGCGACGCCGCGUGAGGAUAGGAAGGUCCGUUUCGGGUUACGUAAACCGUUCGUUUACGGCCGAGGGAAGAAGCGAAGGUAGUACGACCGGUACCUGACGAAGAAGAA